UUCCUCUUUGUGGACCACUACAUGUCAGAGGCUCUGAGAGCUUUGCUCUGCAGCUCAGACCAGGAAACUCUCACAUACAGGAACAGAGAUGUUUUCCAGACUGGGAGAAGAAGAAAUCAGCCAGGAGGAGAAGAGUGAUGAGAUGAUCAGUUCAGAAGUGAUGCUCUGUGGUGACAUCAUCAUAGUCCUCGUCCAAUCCCUGAUCAGCCUUGGUGGGUGGAGUCAUCACCAUGGCAACAGAGACACCAUGAGGAGAGUGGAGAUGAAGAAGGGACAGAAGAUCAUCAGGUGGAAGAGCAGCAUGAACACAAGGUUGGAAACUGAGACAGGAGGAGGAGAUGUAACGAAGGAUGG
Molecule: long non-coding RNA, 354 nt
Organism: Fundulus heteroclitus (mummichog)
Lineage: Eukaryota; Metazoa; Chordata; Actinopteri; Cyprinodontiformes; Fundulidae
Exons: 3
Source: RefSeq, a predicted model, not a curated record